Molecule: ribosomal RNA, 253 nt
Filed under: uncultured bacterium
Lineage: Bacteria
Description: partial 16S ribosomal RNA
Rfam family: Bacterial small subunit ribosomal RNA
Source: RNAcentral
UACAGAGGUGGCAAGCGUUGUUCGGAUUUACUGGGCGUAAAGGGCGCGUAGGCGGCAAUUCAAGUCAUCUGUGAAAUCUCCGGGCUUAACUCGGAAUGGUCAGGUGAUACUGCUUUGCUAGAGUGCAGAAGGGGCAAUCGGAAUUCUUGGUGUAGCGGUGAAAUGCGUAGAUAUCAAGAGGAACACCUGAGGUGAAGACGGGUUGCUGGGCUGACACUGACGCUGAGGCGCGAAAGCUAGGGGAGCAAACGGG